Molecule: non-coding RNA, 25 nt
Filed under: Mus musculus (house mouse)
Lineage: Eukaryota; Metazoa; Chordata; Mammalia; Rodentia; Muridae
Source: RNAcentral
UAGGAUCAUAGCAGGUAGAGGUGUG